Manis pentadactyla (Chinese pangolin) is the source of this 105-nucleotide small nuclear RNA. Lineage: Eukaryota; Metazoa; Chordata; Mammalia; Pholidota; Manidae. The record is from RefSeq and is a predicted model, not a curated record.
GUGCUUGCUUUGGCAGCACAUAUGCUAAAAAUUGGAAUGAUACGGAGAUUAGCAUGGCCCCUGCACAAGGAUGACAUGAAAAGUCGUGAAGUGUUCCAUAUUAAA